CGAUAACGUGAUCUCUCCUUUUUGUAGAGAGAGUUUUUGCUCUCUAGCUUCGCUUUCGUCACCUAUGGCUCGGCAAUUGUCAGUCUUUCCCUGCCCAUUUGGCAGGAGAAGGCUUCCCUCUCCCUAACUUCGCGUGGGUUCCCUCCCUUCCACAGUGUUGGGUUGUGUUUUGUAGUUGGAUCGAUAUUGUUUGAGGGUUUUGUUGAGCUGCCCUUUUUUAUAUUUCUUGUUCCGCUUGGUUAUGUGAUG
Molecule: unclassified non-coding RNA, 249 nt
Filed under: Hevea brasiliensis (rubber tree)
Lineage: Eukaryota; Viridiplantae; Streptophyta; Magnoliopsida; Malpighiales; Euphorbiaceae
Source: RNAcentral